CAGAGGUCCCAAGCGUUGUUCGGAUUCACUGGGCGUAAAGGGUGCGUAGGCGGUCGGGUAAGUCUGAUGUGAAAUCUCCAAGCUCAACUUGGAAAUGGCAUCGGAUACUAUUCGGCUCGAGGAAUGGAGGGGAGACUGGAAUACUUGGUGUAGCAGUGAAAUGCGUAGAUAUCAAGUGGAACACCAGUGGCGAAGGCGAGUCUCUGGACAUUUCCUGACGCUGAGGCACGAAAGCCAGGGGAGCAAACGGGAUUAGAUACCCCGGUAGUCCUGGCCCUAAACGGUGCGCAUUUGCUGUAAGAGGAAUCGACCCCUUUUGUGGCGAAGCUAACGCGUUAAAUGCGCCGCCUGGGAAGUACGGCCGCAAGGUUA
RNAcentral lists this ribosomal RNA (372 nucleotides) under uncultured organism. RNAcentral describes it as "bacterial SSU rRNA". It matches the Rfam family "Bacterial small subunit ribosomal RNA", at positions 526 to 896 of the family's 1533-position model. The record is from RNAcentral.